RNAcentral lists this long non-coding RNA (703 nucleotides) under Panax ginseng (ginseng). RNAcentral's name for it is "long non-coding RNA (PGIN_LNC014449)". Lineage: Eukaryota; Viridiplantae; Streptophyta; Magnoliopsida; Apiales; Araliaceae. The record is from RNAcentral.
CCUGCUACGUCAUCACAUUUUAACCCAGUUUCUCUUCUGUUAAUGGCAGGGGCACGAGUGGCCCAAAAAUAUAACGUUAAGAGUACUUUUGGAAAAAAAAUUAGUUUAGGGUGCAAGUGGGACAUCGGGUAAAUAUCAAGGGCAUUUUUGACCUUAAUAGCAUUUUGCAAAGGGCCCAUUUUUUUUUGUCGCUUUAGGCCCUGAAAAACUCAUGGCCGACCCUGGAUGGUGUGUGGUGGGUGAUGGGUGGUGGUUGAUGGAUGGUGGUGGUAGUGAGUGGUAGUGGGUGGCGGUGGUGGUGGUUGGGUGGGUUGUGAAAUCCCAGAUUUUAUGAAUAAAGAUUUAAAUUUAUCGAAAUAUUUUUUUGAAUAUUAUGGUGUGGAUUUGAUAUUAUGUUAUAGUUGUGGGUAGUAUUUAUAAAUUUUUCAAAGUAUGCAAGUUGUUAUAAAAUAUUCGAUUGGUCGGGGAAUAUUCUUUUUAUCGGGAAAUAUUCGUACGACGGCACAAUCAUUGGUGGACCCCACAACGGAAGUAUUAUCGUAGUUAGAAAAUGACAGAAUUAUCUUUUUAUAAAAAUAACGGCGGAAGUGUUACCGUUAAAACUGUUGAACUACUCGGUAGUAAAAGUACAGUAAUACGCGUGGUUGCAUAGUAGCACACGGUAUUGAUUAUUGAUGCUUACGUAAGAAGUCACUAAGUUAUA